This 169-nucleotide small RNA is filed under the name Chrysemys picta bellii (western painted turtle). RNAcentral describes it as "TUC338 (ENSCPBG00000019790.1)". Lineage: Eukaryota; Metazoa; Chordata; Testudines; Emydidae. The record is from RNAcentral.
UCCAAAGUCCUGACAAAUUGACCAAGUCCUAUUUAUAGAACAGAUGAGGCAAAAUACAGCAGCAGGGGAAAUUCCCUUCACUGCCCUGUCAAUGUGCCUCAAACCUGUUCUGGAGGGUCUUUCUUUAUGGGUGAGACAUACCUUCAAGUCCAUUUGAUCCUUGGUUUGA